This 434-nucleotide ribosomal RNA is filed under the name uncultured Lachnospiraceae bacterium. Its description in RNAcentral is "partial 16S ribosomal RNA". It matches the Rfam family "Bacterial small subunit ribosomal RNA", at positions 341 to 792 of the family's 1533-position model. The record is from RNAcentral. Lineage: Bacteria; Bacillati; Bacillota; Clostridia; Lachnospirales; Lachnospiraceae.
ACGGAAGGCAGCAGUGGGGGAUAUUGCACAAUGGGGGAAACCCUGAUGCGGCGACGCCGCGUGAGUGAAGAAGUAUUUCGGUACGUAAAGCUCUAUCAGCAGGAAAGAUAAUGACGGUACCUGACUAAGAAGCACCGGCUAAAUACGUGCCAGCAGCCGCGGUAAUACGUAUGGUGCAAGCGUUAUCCGGAUUUACUGGGUGUAAAGGGAGCGUAGACGGCAUGGCAAGCCAGAUGUGAAAGGCAGGGGCUCAACUCCUGGACUGCAUUUGGAACUGUCAAGCUAGAGUAUCGGAGAGGUAAGUGGAAUUCCUAGUGUAGCGGUGAAAUGCGUAGAUAUUAGGAGGAACACCAGUGGCGAAGGCGGCUUGCUGGACGAUAACUGACGUUGAGGCUCGAAAGCGUGGGGAGCAAACAGGAUUAGAUACCCUGGUA